GAUGAACGCUGGCGGCGUGCCUAAUACAUGCAAGUCGAGCGAACAGACGAGGAGCUUGCUCCUCUGACGUUAGCGGCGGACGGGUGAGUAACACGUGGAUAACCUACCUAUAAGACUGGGAUAACUUCGGGAAACCGGGGCUAAUACCGGAUAAUAUAUUGAACCGCAUGGUUCAAUAGUGAAAGACGGUUUUGCUGUCACUUAUAGAUGGAUCCGCGCCGCAUUAGCUAGUUGGUAAGGUAACGGCUUACCAAGGCAGCGAUGCGUAGCCGACCUGAGAGGGUGAUCGGCCACACUGGAACUGAGACACGGUCCAGACUCCUACGGGAGGCAGCAGUAGGGAAUCUUCCGCAAUGGGCGAAAGCCUGACGGAGCAACGCCGCGUGAGUGAUGAAGGUCUUCGGAUCGUAAAACUCUGUUAUUAGGGAAGAACAAAUGUGUAAGUAACUAUGCACGUCUUGACGGUACCUAAUCAGAAAGCCACGGCUAACUACGUG
Molecule: ribosomal RNA, 497 nt
Filed under: uncultured bacterium
Lineage: Bacteria
Description: partial 16S ribosomal RNA
Rfam family: Bacterial small subunit ribosomal RNA
Source: RNAcentral